This is a long non-coding RNA of Glossina fuscipes, 1360 nucleotides long. RefSeq lists it as uncharacterized. NCBI's taxonomy places the organism in Eukaryota, Metazoa, Arthropoda, Insecta, Diptera, Glossinidae. The record is from RefSeq and is a predicted model, not a curated record. The transcript is spliced from 5 exons.
UUGCCUCUCGUCCACGAAUCUUAAUUUGUCUUCAUUGCAUUCCUAUAACUAUUCGCAUUGAGCCAUAGAAUAAAUAACGUGACGCUUUUUAAUCGAAUAUUUUUUAUAAAAGUUUUUUUUUUGUUUCUUUGAUCAGAGUAAUUGACACACAGUGCGUUGUAAUUUUAUACGAAUAACUCGAAUGAAAAAGUUUUAAAAGAACUUAAAAAAAAGAAAACACGAUAACGCAGUCAUUAUGCGCAUUUGAGAAGAAGAGAGUAAUUCAAGAGUUUUUCUUAUAGGCACCUUCCUCUCUCUCUCUCUCUCUCUCUCUCUCACUUGCCUUGUUUAUUAAAAGAAAAACGAUAUUGUGCUGCUUUCAUAUGAAUAGUGGAUAAGAGUGAAAAGGUAAACAGAUGUGAAAAUAUAAUGAGCGUUAGAUUCGCUUACAAAUGCGAGGGGUUGCUACUCCAUGCUCAGAUAACUGUUUGCUGGUCAUUAGUGAUGCGGAAAUAUUUUUUGGACGGAUUACGGUUAAAGACAACCUUAUUAAACCAGCAGUGUGUGAAGGCAACGAGGGGGAUGGAGAUGGUGACAUGCCGGCAAAGUUCAAAGUUAUUGCUGAAAUUAUGCCGACAUCUCGAAUUUUUGUUCGAACCUUGAAUAUGGAUAAAUUGUUUAUCGCUGGUAUUCAAUAAUUUGUCCUCUACAGUUCAUCUUUUCACCUCAAAAUUCACUCACAAAAUAAACGGAUGAACAUACAUAUAUAUAUAUAUAUAUAUAUAGAUUGUUAAAUAACCUCAACAUUGCCGAUCAAGUGCAAAUCUUGCAUCUUUUUCCUCAUUGAUGAUAUCAAAAGAAGCUCCUCAGACUUCUCUGUCGCGGACGUUAUCUGUCCAGCCGCCUUGAAAACAUUUGGCGGACGUAAUAAAGAGUUGAAGCGAAAGCAGAACUCCACUGAGCGAGAAUUUCCAAACAUCUCCCAAUAGAGAUAACGAAGCAUACGAGUUAUUAAGAAAUAAAGCAUCGCCGACGAGGCAGAAGAUGUGAUGUACAACCCCGUUCAUAUAAAUACUAUAUGCAAAGAAAGAGACACAUGUUCCAUCCAAGUCGUCACAUGCAUAUGCGCAGCAAGGCAAAGUGUAAAGUAGCGUAAAGGUGUUAAGCAUCCUCUGGCGCUUGAUGUUAUAAACUAAAGUGUGGCAAAGCGUUUAAUUUGUUAUUUACGAGCAAUUAAUGUUGUUUUAAAAACUCUCUCAACAAAAUCCAGUCGGGUCAAGAAAUCUUGAACAACAACAACAGCGGCGAAUACAUUCUCAAUUUGGGUGUCAGCUGUAUUUACAGCCUAUUUUAUUAAACAUUUUUAUUUUUUUAGAAAAAA